Long non-coding RNA from Pseudopipra pipra, 5784 nucleotides. RefSeq lists it as uncharacterized. The transcript is spliced from 2 exons. NCBI's taxonomy places the organism in Eukaryota, Metazoa, Chordata, Aves, Passeriformes, Pipridae. The record is from RefSeq and is a predicted model, not a curated record.
UCCAGACUCUUCAAUCCUGUCCCUCCCACCAGGAGGUCUCCUCCCUGCCUUUACCUGGCCUCUGCCAGCUGCUCUGAAAGGCCUUGUAGGUCUCGCUCCAUGGCUGCCACUCGGGCUUCUAGGGCAGCCCUCUCAUGCACCAGCAACUCCUUCUCUCUGGUCACCUGGGCCAGAGCGUGCCCUUGGCAAGAGAAGUCCUGGAGCAGCUGCUCCAGACCCCUGCUAGCUGACUUGGGCUGGUGGCAAAUCUGAAAGCGGGACAAACUACAGUUAGAGUCCUUCCUCAGGAGCUCUGUGCAGAGCCAGACCCUGCCACUUUGGAAUCUGUGGGCUCAAAGUUUCAGAGCAUCUGCUGCAUGGCACACUUUGGUAAAUGGUCAGAAUGGUACACUGUUGCUUUGAGACGGUGAAGACCUGACUGGUGAGGCUGGGGGAGCGAAAGAGGAGCUGGGCCUCUUGCUUGUCUUGCACCUGGCUCCAGCAAGGCCUGAAAACUGCGGGAUGUCUGGAGUGAAGCAGAGGUCUCACGCACCGCUGUUGCUUCAGUGAGGCACAGAAGAGCACCACGCCUCUGUAGCAGCCAAUAGACACGCUCCCUUCCCUGUGAAAAAGCAGAAGUGUUAAAAGGCAGGCUCACUAAAGAGACAAGGGAGCGUUGCAUUCUAGCAUACCCAGGACUAUCGAUAUUUUAUCUAUCUAUCUAUCUAUCUAUCUAUCUAUCUGUCUCGCACUUAGGUCUCCGUUGCUACACUUUCUGUCCUGACACACACCAACAUUUAGGUAAUUAGUCCAUUUAUCACUGGCAAUCCUGAACUUGCUUUCCUGUUGCUUCAAUAAGCAGCACUAUUGGUGACUCUGGAGCAUAUGAGUGCUUAGGGAAUGCGAUCAGACCUAUGGCACUGGAUUGGUAACUGCACCAGUUGUGCAUCUGUGCUUGUGCAAGUUCUCCUGUUGAACUUGACCGUCUGGUCUUAACAGUGCUAAAGUGGCUAUAAUCAGAAAUGAAGCCCAGCCACACCCAGCCCCUCUGAUCCCUGAGGACCAGCUGGGAUGCAAGGGAGGGGUAUUUCCUGCUAAAUUCCCAUGCCCAUAACACAACAUAUACUAAUACUCAGGGCUGCCACAAGGCACAGGCACUGCUAACUCCAAAGGGAUGUGUAAGGUUCUACUGGCUUGCCUGGGACCAGAACAGCUCCUUCCCCACAAAUGUUCCUCCCCCAAACAACAUGUUUUCCUACAACAGUACUUCCAGAACUGACACCUUACAAACUGAAACUCUAGUGCUGGAAACUUUCAGGAAAGGUUGAGCAAAAGCAGCUUUGCUUGCUGAAGGAAGCGAGACGACACUGGAAUACUCCUCCUCAGGAAAAAACAAAAACCAAAACUAAAAGCCCAAGAGGAAGGUGUCACCUCCUUCAGUGUGUCAAGCAGCAGCAUGCAAUGAGGGGAGCCUUGGCAGGGAGCAGCCCACUGUCAUUUCUAAACUCAUGGAAGUCUGGCUGAAGACCUCCCUCAGCCUCCUUUACUCCAGGUUGAUCACCCACAGCUCCCUCAGUUGCUCCUCAUCAGACUUGUGCUCCAGAACCUUCCCAAGCUCCCUUGCCCUUCUCUGGACACGCUGCAGCCCCUCAAUGUCUUUCUAGGUGUGAGGGUCCCAAAACUGAACACAGCAUUUGAGGUGCAGCCUCACUAGUGCUGAGUACAGGGCGACGGUCACUGCCCUGGUCCUGCUUCUUUCUAAGGAGAACAAGUCCCCACCUUCUACUGCCCGGAACAGCAUCUGGGAUGGUCUUGCCAGUGCAACUCCCUCUUCCACAAGUGCCACCGAGGAAGAAAGUGACCAUACCUUUUCCAGUGCCUUGGUAAGGUCAGCUUUCUCCUCCUUCAGCAGAUUCUUCUGGAGCUGCCAUUCCUCCACUGUCUCUUCCACCACUGCCAACUCCCGCUCUGAGAAGGAGGGUUUUCUCUCAGCUACUGCCAGCUGCUUUGGUCUGUGAGAACGGGACAGACAAACGAGUCUUUAAGAGCAAAACAGUCUCCUUUCCAAAACCAAAUCUACAUCCUGUGUCCCACAGAUGGCAGCUGGAAUGACUUCCAACAGCCUUCUAGUUCCACUGAAGGAAUGCUGGAAUUCCCUGGCUGUGUCACCCUUUGUCCUUGAUGCAGGUGAAACAAUUGUCCUUGAGAAAGGAAAACAAGCUUCCAGAAAUCAGCUUCCUUUUCCAGGAAGCUCAGAUAUUCUCAACUGAACAGCUUCCUGCCUGCUAGGUCUUAUUCUCCUUUUUGAUACAUUGGAUAUGGGACUUCCUCAAGCCCAUGUGCUCCCUUCUCCUGUCUGUGCUACAGAUGAUGAGCCGGCGAAAUUCCUUCUUUGAUGGUGGGCUUUCUAAAGCCCAGCAAUGCCCACCCCUGUCCAGAGAAAGCAAGAAAACUUAACACUCACAGGAGCUCUGGGACACUGAGCCCUCCAUCCAUCCUCUCCUGCCACUCCACCUUUUCCAUCUGGGCUGUGGAGUCCUGACUGGCAGAAAGCUCUUCUGUCAGGGCCUGCAAAACGACCCUGGAGUUGGUAUGUACGUCUCAGUAGAAGCAUGGAGCAUUUCCCUUCUCUGAUCUGUUCAACUGACUUCUCCUCAGUCUUCCAAGUUUUAGGGAACAGCCCUUAGGAAGUGCCUGCCAGCCCUUCAGACACAGCCCUUCCCUCUCCAAUGCAGAGCUGGGUAGGAUUAUUCUCCCCAGCCUUGGGGCCUGUCAAAGUUAGGGGUGUGGUCUAAGGUGUGCCAGAAGCUACUUAGAUAGUCCAUGGAGAGGGGCAGCUUCCCCCAGAGGAAAGUGUCCCCUCGGUAUCCUGCAAGGCCGUGAACUGAGUCUUUGGACCGCUCUGUGCGCUGUCAACAGGGAGCCUGCACAGACACUAUGCACAAACCUGCUCCCUUUUCCACUGGCAGCAUGCAAGGACAUGGUGCUACCUCUUCUCUGAUACCAAGAGAGAUUCACAGGCCGCCCAGGAUACCAGGAAACUGAUGGCUACACGUGAAGGUUCAGAAGCCACUUUCCAGGUGUCAGGGGCUGCGGUGGAGCGCUGGUGUCACAGAGAAACUCCAGCCCUCAGCAUCUUCAGCCACAAAGGGCAAGUGCUGUGUGAGCAGAAACUUGCAGCUCUGCACUGCAGCAGAGACAGUGCCAAGCAAAGCUGCCACUUACUGCUUCGGGAUGUUCAGGCCGUGGAGUGGCAACACGUGGAAAUGCGUUGGCAUGGCCCUCCUCUUUAGCCUCAUCUUCAGGAAGAGAGAGAGCCAGAGGAGGUUCUGAUGCUGGUGUUGUGCUCUGUGGACAGACAGCAGCGUGAGGGACAGGGAGUAACCUGUCUUUUCGGACCUGAUUUUUGUUGAGCUUCUAUUUCCUGCUGGACUGCAGAGAAAUCAUGAACUUGGAUGGAAGGAGGAUUCUAAGUCCUUGAAAGUACAUGUAAAUGGGCUAAUUAGACCCAUGUGACAGUAAUGCAUAUUAUUGUGAAUUCGAUAUUGCACCCUGGCUGCAAUCAGCAAGCAACCUUCUGUUGCAAACCUUGACUUUUCUGUGUUAAAAAGCUCUUUGAUGGAACAUUAGGAAACAGCAGCGAUCCCUUUGCUACUGCUGAUGCAGGCACUGAAAUGGGCUGUCUUUCAGCCCACCAGGCUGGCACUCGACUGCAAGAGGCCAGCUCACAGCUUGCUCCACAGUUCUCAAGCACCAGGCAGGUCAAAAGGGCCUUUCCCACUCACCAAAGGAUGGGCUUCUCUCCAUCCACGUGUGAUGUGUCCUGCAAGAGGAAAGGGAAAAGCAACCAGAUACUGUUAGAAAACUGUCUGUGCUGGGGAAUCCCACAGAACAAGUCAACCGAAACCGGGAACAUGUUCCUGUACUUUUAUUUUUUUUAAUAAAUUGCACACUCUCAUUCCCGUUAGCUCUCUGAAGACAUUUCCCCAGAAAAGCAGCCCCAGAAUCUCCCUUAGCUGUGGCACUUCUAUUCUGCCAUAGAAGGGCAGCAGCUGCUGGGUUCACAAGCAUACAGUAACUGUUUUGGAGUUUGCACUUCAUCACAAAGGGAAUUGCUAUGUCAGCACACACAGAAAGUGUCAAGUCACACAGUCAAAUCCUUUAUUGAGGGAAUGAAGAGAAAAAGAUGCUCUUCCUCAAUUCUGGAGAGAACUGCACAGUUUUUAGAAGGACUCCUGGCAAGGUCUCCCUGUCUGCAUUGUGCAAGUUGAGCCAGCAAACUAAGGAAAUGACAGAUUCCACUGGUACAAACCACCUCAUGGAGGGAAGGGAAGCCCUGCGAGUUACAUUCCAAAUGCUGCCCACACCCUACUGGCCAGAAACACCCCCUUCUUAGCUGAAGUUGUUGACAGGAGCUUUACCUAACUAAUGCCAUCUUUGUGGCAGUUUUGUUUCGAGAUGCUGCACCUCAGAUGCAAGCAUCAUUUGUUUGAAGAUGCUGCACCCUCUACUUACUUGUCAGGUGAGUCAAAAAGUAGCCGGAAUAGGCCAAAGAAAAAGCAGUGCAAACUGCUCCACAGAGUGGCUCCAUCGUUGGAGCGGUGCUGCACAAGUCCACCGACCGUACAACACCAAGAGUAGAACAAAAGAACGCUCCCGUCAGGGUGCAAACUGUUGGCUGAGACGCCUCGAUCAGGAGGAUCCUCCUGCACUGAGCCCGCCAAAGAGCUGCUCUGGACACUGAGGCCUCCCAGGCACCAGGGUAACCUUCCCUUGACAGCACUGUGAUGUGGCAACAUCCCAUGACAUCACAAUGGCAGCCGCUGCAGGUGGGUUUGUGAAUUUACGCAGAGCAACCCAACCUUCUCUGCAGCAAACGCAGAAGACGAGCCUGCAGAGUUCUCCUCUGUCCCAAAGCAGUACCAAACCCCCCUGCGGUGCACAACCUUGCACAGACAUGCCAAGACUCUCUUGUCUGUUGGUGGGCAACAGAGUGUGUUUCAGGAGCUUUACACUGGACUUUACACGCUUAGCAACUCAAACACAUUUUGCUGAAAUGAUCACUCAUGUCUGAUUGAAAGGGAACCUCCCUCCCGACACAAUUCCCUUUCAGCAUGCCAGGGAACACUGCCGGGCAAAGGAUCUGCCUUUCAGCUCUCACAGUCCUAACACUGAGGGGUAGCACAGCUGCUAAGGAGGGGUCUUUGUCGAGCUCUUGUAGGUUCUCUGCUGUAAAUAGAGAGAAAGCAGGCACUUGGAGAACAGGCUGAGAGGUGGAUGAAUUCCUGGAGGGCUCAAUGAAGGAAGAAGGACACCUUAGUGGGGAAAGCCAAGUAACAAACCUACGUCACCCUGCUGCUGCAGAGCUCUGGCAUCGCAAAGAAGCCCUUUGGGUUCUGUGACUCACCUGCAGGGGCUUCCCUGGGCACAUCUGUGAGGCACAGAGAACUGACUAGAGGGGACAUACAGAGAGAAAGAAAAGAAAGUUAAAACCCAAUGUGGGAUGACUUUGAAGGUGGUGGUAGGAGGAAACCAGUGGGCCCAAAUGGGCAAGUGCCAUUUAAAAGGGGAGUUACGAGGCAGAGACCAAAGAGAUGAGGUGGUGGGCAGGCCUCAGGAAGGCAGGGUGAGGAAAACAGAAAACCAGAAGCCUUGAAAAGUUUGAAAGCAUCCUUCCCCAUUCCGUGUCUUUCAAGCCAGUUUUUUCUCCUACGUAAAAUUACAUUCCUGAGCAUUACCAGCAAGGGACUGGAAAACUCUCCUUUAAUUUCCUUUCUCAAUUAAAAAACAAAAUGAAGAGAGAAA